UUCCGGUUGAUCCCGCCGGACCCGACUGCUAUCAGAGUGGGACUAAGCCAUGCGAGUCGACGUAGCAAUGCGUGGCGAACGGCUCAGUAACACGUAGUCAACAUGCCCAGGGGACGUGGAUAACCUCGGGAAACUGAGAAUAAACCACGAUAGGUCAUGAUUUCUGGAAUGGAUCAUGGCCCAAAUCUACAUGGCCCCUGGAUUGGACUGCGGCCGAUCAGGCAGUUGGUGAGGUAAAGGCCCACCAAACCUAUAACCGGUACGGGCUCUGAGAGGAGAAGCCCGGAGAUGGGCACUGAGACAAGGGCCCAGGCCCUAUGGGGCGCAGCAGGCGCGAAACCUCUGCAAUAGGCGAAAGCCUGACAGGGUUACUCUGAGUGAUUUCCGCUAAGGGGAUCUUUUGGCACCUCUAAAAAUGGUGCAGAAUAAGGGGUGGGCAAGUCUGGUGUCAGCCGCCGCGGUAAUACCAGCACCCCGAGUGGUCGGGACGAUUAUUGGGCCUAAAGCAUCCGUAGCCGGUUCUGCAAGUCUUCCGUUAAAUCCAGCCGCUCAACGGAUGGGCCGCGGAGGAUACUACAGGACUAGGAGGCGGGAGAGGCAAGCGGUACUCAGUGGGUAGGGGUAAAAUCCUUUGAUCCAUUGAAGACCACCAGUGGCGAAGGCGGCUUGCCAGAACGCGCUCGACGGUGAGGGAUGAAAGCUGGGGGAGCAAACCGGAUUAGAUACCCGGGUAGUCCCAGCUGUAAACGAUGCAGACUCGGUGAUGGGCUAGCCUUGUGCCAGCCCAGUGCCGCAGGGGAGCCGUUAAGUCUGCCGCCUGGGGAGUACGGGUCGCAGACUGAAACUUAAGGGAAUGGCGGGGGAGCA
This 867-nucleotide ribosomal RNA is filed under the name uncultured archaeon. RNAcentral describes it as "bacterial SSU rRNA". It matches the Rfam family "Archaeal small subunit ribosomal RNA", at positions 1 to 878 of the family's 1478-position model. The record is from RNAcentral.